Long non-coding RNA from Passer domesticus (house sparrow), 499 nucleotides. RefSeq lists it as uncharacterized. NCBI's taxonomy places the organism in Eukaryota, Metazoa, Chordata, Aves, Passeriformes, Passeridae. The record is from RefSeq and is a predicted model, not a curated record. The transcript is spliced from 2 exons.
GCAUCAACAGGAGGGGAUAAAAGCUUGGGCUAAAGAACAAGAAGGGCAGACAUUUACAGCCUUCUGAAGUGGUGAAUGUUACUCUGUAUGAGCUGAUGCCUGAAGCCUUCUGAAGAGGGAAAGGCACCCUCGGGCAGAUAGAAUGGAGAAGUUUAAUCCCAGGUGGAGGCCACAGGAUGUUCUAAUCAGCAGAAAGUCAAGGGUGGUUAUGGUAAAAACUGUGGGCACCUGCACAAGAGAGACUGAAACACUUCCUUGGAGUGCCGUGAGAAGGAGCCCCACAAUACUCCAGAUGAUACUGACACGGAAAAAAAUUCCCUUUGUAUGGGGCUGACUUGUUCUUCUGUUACAGGAGGGCUUUCAGCUGCACCGGGUGAAACCCUGUGGGUUCUGCACUGGGGAGAGCUCACCUCAGUGCAGUGAGAGCUUAAAGCACUUGCCUGCAGCUCUGUGUCAAAUAACUAAGAGCAGAACAAGUGAAAUAAAUUGAAAAAGGUCA